This 407-nucleotide ribosomal RNA is filed under the name uncultured bacterium. RNAcentral describes it as "partial 16S ribosomal RNA". It matches the Rfam family "Bacterial small subunit ribosomal RNA", at positions 30 to 526 of the family's 1533-position model. The record is from RNAcentral.
AUUGAACGCUGGCGGCAGGCCUAACACAUGCAAGUCGAGCGGAGCGGCGGACGGGUGAGUAAUGCCUAGGAAUCUGCCUGGUAGUGGGGGAUAACGUCCGGAAACGGGCGCUAAUACCGCAUACCAUCGGAUGUGCCCAGAUGGGAUUAGCUUGUUGGUGGGGUAACGGCUCACCAAGGCGACGAUCCCUAGCUGGUCUGAGAGGAUGACCAGCCACACUGGAACUGAGACACGGUCCAGACUCCUACGGGAGGUAGCAGUGGGGAAUAUUGCACAAUGGGCGCAAGCCUGAUGCAGCCAUGCCGCGUGUAUGAAGAAGGCCUUCGGAUUGUAAAGCACUUUAAGUUGGGAGGCGUUACCAACAGAAUAAGCACCGGCUAACUUCGUGCCAGCAGCCGCGGUAAUUC